UCACUCUUAUUGACUUUGUCUUUCCUCCAAAUAUUGUUAAUCUCAUCAUGAACUGUACCACUUCAACCUCUUUGACGCUCAAAUAGAACAGUGAGAAGUUGAAGUCCUUUGCACCUACCAGAGGAUGAAGACAAGGUGAUUCUGUCUUCUUAUCUUUUUGUUUUGUAUAUGAAAAAAUUAUCUCUCCUUAUACAGAAGAAAGUAGAUGAGCAUAGUUGGUUGCCAGUGAGAGUUGACAGGAACGGUCCAGCAAUUUCACAUCUCUUCUUUGCUGGUGACUGUAUAUUAUAUUAUUAUUCACUGAGGCCAAGUCUUCUCAGAUCAAGUUAAUGAAGGAAGUUUUGGACUUGUACUGUAAAGCGUCUGCGUCUGGUGGAAAAGUUAAUCUCCAGAAAUCCAGGUUCAUGACUUCUAAUAGUAUCUUACAUGUGAAGAUUGAUAAAUUUAUUUCAAUCUCUCAUUUCCAGCACACAAGACAAAUUGGGAAAUAUCUAGGAUUUCCUAUGCUCUCUGGACAAACUAGAAACAGUGAUUUUAAUUAUAUCCUUGAGAGGACUAACUCCAGAUUGGCAGGAUGGAAAAGGAAUUUGUUGAAUGUUGAGUAGCUUUGGCCCAACCUGUGGAUUCCAGAAGGAAUUUGUGAAAGGAUAGAUACUACCAUUUGGGGUGGUGACUAUAUAUUCAUUCUCACUGGGUGAGCAGGAACGUCAUUUAUCGUCCUAGAAGUCUUGGUGGUCUCAAUAUUCGCCCUUCUCCUAUGAUUAAUAUUUCCUUCUUAGGGACUUUUUGCAUGAAAAGCAUAAUAAUAAACUUGGGUCCAAAUGCUUGAGUCUAAAUACCUUGGAAUUCAAUUAUAAAGCCACUGGGAAUCUUGAAUUGGGAUUUCAAAUUCGUCUAUUGGCUGGAAGCUAGGAGAGAAAUCCAGAGUUACAUUAUUAAUGAGCACAUGGAGGAUAAAAUCAUUUGGGGUGCAUCCGGAGAUGGAAUGUUUACUGCAUCUAGCUUCUGCCUUCAAAUGGCUCAUUGCCUACUGGUAAAUUUGGAAAUGGAAAAUGAGAGUGUGGCACAGUCUCAACAUGGAUGGCGAACCUUCAUUUUAUGCUGCUACGUGCGUGGAUUGGCUAGUCAACAACAUCAAUAGCCCACCAAGAGUAGAAAUGCUCUUAUUUUUCAAGACAAGCUCAGAUGUCAUCAAUGUGAUUCAACAGUCAAUGCCUCUGAAAGCAAUGAAAUCUGUUCGUUGGGAAGCAUCAAAUUUCCCUUUCAUCAAGCUGAAUACUGAUGGAUCAUCAUCAAUGGACGCUUUCCUUCAAGCGCAUGUUCUUUGGGAAGGAAAUUCCAGUGCUAUCUGGCUUAACACAUUGGUGAUUGCUGAUAGAUUAAAAUAAUAUUUACUAUGUCACAUCAUCAUGUGUCGGAUGGGUUGUUUUUACCAUGGAGCGAUCUGUGUAUCAGUCCUCUUGCUGUAUCAAACAAAUUAUAAGAACUAAAUUAUAGAUUUACCAAACGAUAAAUGUAACCAUGAUUAAAUUAUGGUUUGUGACCGAAUAAAAUAUCAUCAUUACAAUGA
This is a long non-coding RNA of Glycine soja, 1570 nucleotides long. RefSeq lists it as uncharacterized. The record is from RefSeq and is a predicted model, not a curated record. The transcript has 2 exons. NCBI's taxonomy places the organism in Eukaryota, Viridiplantae, Streptophyta, Magnoliopsida, Fabales, Fabaceae.